GGCUUCGGGAGGGCGGGGACUCUGGGGUCACCUCCCAUCCGUGUCUAUCUGUACCCUGUUGCUUCGGCGUGGCCACGGCCCGCCGGAGACUAACAUUUGAACGCUGUCUGAAGUUUGCAGUCUGAGUUUUUAGUUAAACAAUCGUUAAAACUUUCAACAACGGAUCUCUUGGUUCCGGCAUCGAUGAAGAACGCAGCGAAAUGCGAUAAUUAAUGUGAAUUGCAGAAUUCAGUGAAUCAUCGAGUCUUUGAACGCACAUUGCGCCCCCUGGUAUUCCGGGGGGCAUGCCUGUCCGAGCGUCAUUGCUGCCCUCAAGCACGGCUUGUGUGUUGGGCUUCCGUCCCUGGCAACGGGGACGGGCCCAAAAGGCAGUGGCGGCACCAUGUCUGGUCCUCGAGCGUAUGGGGCUUUGUCACCCGCUCCCGUAGGUCCAGCUGGCAGCUAGCCUCGCAACCAAUCUUUUUAACCAGGUUGACCUCGGAUCAGGUAGGGAUACCCGCUGAACUUAAGCAUAUCAAAGGCCCGGAGGAAG
RNAcentral lists this ribosomal RNA (532 nucleotides) under Aspergillus amstelodami. RNAcentral describes it as "eukaryotic LSU rRNA". The stretch from base 149 to 302 matches the Rfam family "5.8S ribosomal RNA". The record is from RNAcentral. Lineage: Eukaryota; Fungi; Ascomycota; Eurotiomycetes; Eurotiales; Aspergillaceae.